This 185-nucleotide ribosomal RNA is filed under the name uncultured bacterium. RNAcentral describes it as "partial 16S ribosomal RNA". It matches the Rfam family "Bacterial small subunit ribosomal RNA", at positions 351 to 527 of the family's 1533-position model. The record is from RNAcentral.
GGAGAGCGAAUAUUAGGACAAUGGGCGCAAGCCUGAUCCAGCCAUGCCGCGUGUGUGAAGAAGGCCUUAUGGUUGUAAAGCACUUUAAGCGAGGAGGAGGCUACUUUAGUUAAUACCUAGAGAUAGUGGACGUUACUCGCAGAAUAAGCACCGGCUAACUCUGUGCCAGCAGCCGCGGUAAAUGA